UACGUAGGGGUCGAGCGUUGUCCGGAGUUACUGGGCGUAAAGCGUGUGCAGGCGGCUCAUUGCGCCCGGCGUGAAAGCCCCCGGCUCAACCGGGGAGAGUCGUCGGGGACGGGUGAGCUUGAGGGUAUCAGGGGCUGGUGGAAUUCCCGGUGUAGUGGUGAAAUGCGUAGAUAUCGGGAGGAACACCCGUGGCGAAGGCGGGUCUCUGGGCAGUAACUGACGCUGAGGAGCGAAAGCGUGGGGAGCAAACAGG
Molecule: ribosomal RNA, 253 nt
Filed under: uncultured bacterium
Lineage: Bacteria
Description: partial 16S ribosomal RNA
Rfam family: Bacterial small subunit ribosomal RNA
Source: RNAcentral